GCCCUCGUAGCUCAGUUAGGAUAGAGCACAAGAUUCCUAAUCUUGGUGUCGGACGUUCGAGUCGUCUCGGGGGCACCA
Molecule: transfer RNA, 78 nt
Filed under: Candidatus Adiutrix sp.
Lineage: Bacteria; Pseudomonadati; Thermodesulfobacteriota; Desulfarculia; Candidatus Adiutricales; Candidatus Adiutricaceae
Description: tRNA-Arg
Rfam family: tRNA
About the family: Transfer RNA (tRNA) molecules are approximately 80 nucleotides in length. Their secondary structure includes four short double-helical elements and three loops (D, anti-codon, and T loops).
Source: RNAcentral